RNAcentral lists this ribosomal RNA (555 nucleotides) under Penicillium viticola. RNAcentral's name for it is "eukaryotic LSU rRNA". The stretch from base 195 to 348 matches the Rfam family "5.8S ribosomal RNA". The record is from RNAcentral. Lineage: Eukaryota; Fungi; Ascomycota; Eurotiomycetes; Eurotiales; Aspergillaceae.
ACCUGCGGAAGGAUCAUUACUGAGUGAGGGCCCUCUGGGUCCAACCUCCCACCCGUGUUUAUUUGUACCUUGUUGCUUCGGCAGGCCCGCCUCACGGCCGCCGGGGGGCUUCUGCCCCCGGGCCCGCGCCUGCCGGAGACAAUCUUGAACGCUGUCUGAAGAAUGCAGUCUGAGCGAUUAGCAAAAUUAGUUAAAACUUUCAACAACGGAUCUCUUGGUUCCGGCAUCGAUGAAGAACGCAGCGAAAUGCGAUAAUUAAUGUGAAUUGCAGAAUUCAGUGAAUCAUCGAGUCUUUGAACGCACAUUGCGCCCCCUGGUAUUCCGGGGGGCAUGCCUGUCCGAGCGUCAUUGCUGCCCUCAAGCCCGGCUUGUGUGUUGGGCCCUGUUCCCCCGGGAACAGGCCCGAAAGGCAGUGGCGGCACCGCGUCCGAUCCUCGAGCGUAUGGGGCUUUGUCACCCGCUCUGUAGGCCCGGCCGGCGCUUGCCGACCCCAUCAAUCUUUUUUCAGGUUGACCUCGGAUCAGGUAGGGAUACCCGCUGAACUUAAGCAUAUCA